Molecule: long non-coding RNA, 1261 nt
Filed under: Marmota monax (woodchuck)
Lineage: Eukaryota; Metazoa; Chordata; Mammalia; Rodentia; Sciuridae
Source: RNAcentral
ACUGAUUUUUAGAGCUUUACUCUCCCAACCAACUCUUUUUAUCAUGUUUCAUUACAAUAAAGCAAAUAUUCUUUCAUUUUGAAAAUCAAAAUAUAAGCCUUUUUAUAUACAGAGUAUUUUAUCAGUCAUGAGAUCAGAAACAAGCAUUAGUGCACCAAUCUUCAAGUAAUUUUAUUUAGUUGUGUAACCUAAUUGAAAAAUUACUAAGAUUACCUUGGUAAUGAUCUGUGUCCUGGCCCAUAUCCCUUCCGUGUCCUCAGAGUUCAAAACUAAACAUUACUAUCUUGAAUCUUUUUUUUUUUUACCUUGGCACUACACUCUGGUAAAUAAAAAUAUUUAAAUAAAAAAUAGUCCCUACAUUCAAGAAUUUGCAGUCAAACGGGGAAAGACAUAUAUUUGUAAUAUAUACAAAUAACUAUAAUACAAGCUAAGACAAAACUACAAAUUUAAGAAACCAAAGAAGGAAAGUAUGUUUAGCUAGAAGUAAUUGGGAGACAAAGGGUGUCCUCAAACUAAGAUAUUACUUAUACUUUCACAAUUCUCAAUUUAGGUAUUCAUUAAAAUAAUGUUUGUUAGAGAAUUAAUUGAAUGCUUAUCUAAUUACUCUUUAUCACGCCCCCUCAGUUCUGAAAACUUAACAGGAAAAAUAAGAUUAUGCAAGUAAAGUUAAAUAUUUCUUAUCCAUGUUUUAGAGUGUUGUUGUGCUCUGGCUAUGAUAGUGAAUGAUAGUAAGAAAGAAGCUAUCUCCGCCCUCUUGAAACUUACCAUUUAACUCUAGAUAUGUAGUUUUUCAAAGCGGCCUUUGGCAUUUUUGAGUUGUGAUUUUUGGACAUAACUCUUUGUCAAUAGUCACUUUAACUUCUGAUAGAUUGUUUUUUCCCAUGACUACUUUUUACAUACUAUCUUAGUUUUUCUCUAAAUUUUUCAUAUCCAGCAAUUUGGUGAUGUUUAUGAUGGUAAUUUUUAUGUGCCUGAGAUUUGGAACAUUUUUUAUCAGUUCUGACACAGUUAUUAUUUAUGAUAAUGAUUCUUAUUUCACUUUAGUGAUAUAAUACUUGUAAUGACUGAGAUCACUCUUUUGUGCACUUCAGCUCAACUUCAGAGUAUGAAUAGUAAGAUACUCUUCAAUAGGGAGAGAAAGUUGUCUAAUCAGAAAGUUACCCUCUUAUACAUUUUAAUUCACUUUGUUAUUAUAUUGCUACAAUAUGUAAUAACUGAAAAGUUAAUGUUGUGCAUUGGGGAACACUGGUAGACUUGAAAU